This 427-nucleotide ribosomal RNA is filed under the name uncultured bacterium. Its description in RNAcentral is "partial 16S ribosomal RNA". It matches the Rfam family "Bacterial small subunit ribosomal RNA", at positions 354 to 796 of the family's 1533-position model. The record is from RNAcentral.
GUGGGGAAUAUUGGGCAAUGGGGGAAACCCUGACCCAGCAACGCCGCGUGAGUGAUGAAGGCCUUUGGGUCGUAAAACUCUGUCCUUGGGGAAGAAAAAAAUGACGGUACCCUUGGAGGAAGCCCCGGCUAACUACGUGCCAGCAGCCGCGGUAAUACGUAGGGGGCAAGCGUUAUCCGGAAUUAUUGGGCGUAAAGAGUGCGUAGGUGGUUUUGUAAGCGUAGGGUGAAAGGCAGUAGCUCAACUAUUGUUAGCCCUGCGAACUGUGAGACUUGAGUGCAGGAGAGGAAAGUGGAAUUCCUAGUGUAGCGGUGAAAUGCGUAGAUAUUAGGAGGAACACCAGUGGCGAAGGCGACUUUCUGGACUGUAACUGACACUGAGGCACGAAAGCGUGGGUAGCAAACAGGAUUAGAAACCCCUGUAGUCC